Molecule: non-coding RNA, 172 nt
Filed under: Pseudomonadota bacterium
Lineage: Bacteria; Pseudomonadati; Pseudomonadota
Also listed under: 2 other names
Description: Proteobacteria bacterium (groundwater metagenome) 6S RNA
Rfam family: 6S / SsrS RNA
About the family: E. coli 6S RNA was the first non coding RNA to be sequenced, but its function was unknown until recently. It consists of 184 nucleotides that fold into an extended hairpin structure with a large single-stranded internal bulge.
Source: RNAcentral
GUUUCCCUGCCCUGUUGGUGAUCUUCAGAAUGUUGAGCCAACUCUCACAAAAAGGGUACCUCCUCUGUUUUCAAAAAGAAGAUUGCUCAGCAAUCUUCCGGAUGAGACUAUGAGUUUGCCCACCUAUUUAAUAGGUUUAAUCAUCCUGUAGACACGGCAGGGUGGGGAUUUU